CACCACGUGGGGAGAGGGGGUGAGCAGGUAGAGCCACAUCCCAAAAUAGAGACGCUCGCUGCCAUUGCGUGCCUCCUAGGGGCGCAGCCCUCGUUUGUCUUUGAAGAGGUUCCCAAGCAGUCAGCUACAAAAGGGGGCCGCUGCACACGCCUCCCCUCCUGAGCAGGUCUCCGGGGAGUAGUGGUGGGUGGGGGAGAGCUAAGUGGCUGCAGGUGUGCGCUGGGGGGGCGGGUUUCUUUCUUUACACUCCAGGGGUGGUGUGUGUGUGUGUGUGUGUGUGUGUGUAUGUGUGUGGGGCAGGGUCUUUUCGGUAAAAUUGAGGCAGGAAUCUAGUUUCUUGCCCUCCCCCGGCGAUCAUCAUGACUGCGUCUCUUGACUACCUGGUGAUCUUGUUCGGGACGACUGCAGGUGCUCAGGGGGCUAAGCUGGGAUCCGAUGAGAAAGAGCUGGUCCAGCUGCUGUGGAAAGUGGUGGAUCUGGCCCGCAAGAAGGCGGGGAGCCUGCAUGAAGUGCUGGUCAGACCGGAGCACUUGGACCUGACCGAGGAAUGCAAAGACACAACAAAGCUGGAGGCGGAGAGCCUGGCGCGAGCCCCGCAGCUGGAGCAAGCCCUGCAACAGUUUAACCAGUCUGUGAGCAAUGAACUGAAUAUUGGUGUAGGUACUUCCUUCUGUCUCUGCACUGAUGGACAGCUGCACAUCAGACAGCUUCUGCAUCCUGAAGCUUCCAAAAAGAAUAUCUUAUUGCCUGAAUGCUUCUACUCCUUUUUUGACUUGCGAAAAGAGUUCAAGAAAUGUUUCCCUGACUCCUCUGAUGUUGACAAACUGGAUGCUGCUGCCAUGACAGAAUAUUUAAAUCAUGAAAAGAGCAGUCCAGCAUGGCAUUUUGGAGCAUCUCAAGUGGAAGAUAUGGGGAAUAUUAUUUUAACACUAAUUUCUGAAGUAUACAAUCACAGAUUUGCAGAUCCAGAAAGAGUGAACUAUAAAUUUGAAAGUGGUACCUGCAGUAAGAUGGAACUUGUAGAUGAUAACACCAUAAUCAGAGCAAGAGGCUUACCAUGGCAGUCAUCUGACCAGGACAUCGCAAGAUUCUUCAAAGGCCUUAAUAUUGCCAAGGGAGGUGCUGCACUUUGUCUCAAUGCACAAGGAAGGAGGAAUGGGGAAGCUCUUAUCAGGUUUGUAAGUGAAGAGCAUAGAGAUUUAGCACUACAAAGACACAAGCACCACAUGGGGAAUCGGUACAUUGAGGUGUACAAGGCAACAGGUGAAGAUUUCCUUAAAAUUGCAGGAGGUACUUCCAAUGAAGCAGCUCAAUUUUUAUCGAAAGAAAAUCAGGUGAUUGUCCGGAUGCGAGGACUUCCUUUCAAUGCAACGACAGAAGAAGUGCUGACGUUUUUUGGCCAGCACUGCCCUGUAACAGGAGGAAAGGAAGGAAUCCUGUUUGUCACAUACCCUGACAACAGGCCAACAGGAGAUGCCUUUGUGUUGUUUGCUUGUGAGGAAUAUGCACAAAAUGCACUAAAAAAACAUAAGGACUUGCUGGGUAAAAGGUACAUUGAACUCUUCAGGAGCACAGCAGCAGAGGUUCAGCAGGUGCUGAACAGGUACUCUUCUACACCUCUCGUUCCCCUUGCAGCUCCCCCUAUCCUUCCUGUGUUACCUCAGCAAUUCAUGCCUCCGACCAAUGUCAGAGACUGCAUACGUCUGCGUGGUCUUCCCUAUGCUGCCACUAUAGAGGACAUUUUGGAAUUCUUGGGGGAGUUUUCUGCAGAUAUUCGGACCCAUGGGGUUCACAUGGUAUUAAAUCACCAGGGCCGUCCAUCAGGAGAUGCCUUUAUCCAGAUGAAAUUUGCAGACCGAGCAUUUCUGGCUGCACAGAAGUGUCAUAAGAAGACCAUGAAGGACAGAUACAUUGAAGUCUUUCAGUGUUCUGCAGAGGAGAUGAACUUUGUAUUAAUGGGGGGCACUUUAAAUCGAAAUGGCUUGUCCCCACCACCAUGUAAGUUACCAUGUCUUUCUCCUCCAUCCUACUCACUUCCAGCUCCUGCAGCAGUUAUUCCAACAGAAGCUGCUGUUUAUCAACCCUCCGUGCUUUUGAAUCCACGAACGCUGCAGCCCUCCACAGCAUACUAUCCAGCAGGUGCUCAGCUCUUCAUGAACUACAUGUACUAUCCCAGGUAAGGCAAUAAGGAAAUGAGGCAGGAACAAACAAGUCCUUUUACAGCAAAUGCCUGAAGCUCUCAAAAGAGUAUUGGCUCCCAUGCUGAAGGCUUGUGCUAGAGGGAACAGCCUGCUCAGUAUUUGAGCAGGGUAAUUAUUUCAGAAUCCACAGGUGGGGUUCUAGUUUUGGAAUCUCAGGUGGCAAAUUUUAAUGUAUGUAAAAUAUUGGGCAUUUUUCAAAAGUCACAUGCUGUUCAAGUGACUUAGAAACACACUUAUUAUUGCCUUUCCAUGGGAAUUUUCCUUUUUUCAUUAAGGGGCUUUGUGUCAGGUAAAAAUCCCAUAGUUUGCGUCUUAAAAUCAGAGGUUUGCACUAAUGUCUUUUACCAGAAUUUUGCCUCUUCUGACUGAUGCCCUCCACCCUCAAGGUAACUGCUUUUCAGUGGCUCUGUACAGUUAAAGGAUUUUGUAAACUUUGAUGGGGAAAGGCGCUAUAUAAAUGUAAAUAUUCCCACGUGCUUCAGUGCAAGUUGACUGACUAAUGUUCUUUUCCCCCCUUUCUCUCCUCUGAGGGCUUUUUAGCUUUUUCUGGUUAAAGGAAACGAACACCAGUCUCUUGUGGGUGGGGUAUAAUGGGUUUAAUGUAUACUUCACAAUUGCAAGGUAACAAUCUGUUCUGAUUGGAAUGCAAAGUACUUCAUACUGUCAAGAUUGUAUAUGAGACCUGGUCUACACUACAAAGUUAGGUCAACGUAAGAAGUCUUGUGUCGACCUAGUUGUGCAUGCGUCUACAUUUAAACUUGUCUCCCACUGAUAUAAGCACCACGUUACAGCGACACAAUAACACCAUCCCCCCCUUGAGCCAGGGUCGAUGUACUGAGGUCGAUGCAGCACGAGUGUAAACGCUGUUGCCUAUGUCAACUAUAACACUCCUCCAGCAGCUGUCCCACAAUGCCUGACACCAAUAACUCGGCUCACAAUGGUAAAUGCCCAGCGAUUACAGAAUCCGAACAGCCUCCCUUCCCAUUAAAGCCUCGUGUGUUUUUUUUGAAUGACUUUUCCUGACUGUCCAGCUUGACAAUCACAUCUAGCAGCAAUCCAUUGUUUUGUACAACUGCCCAGCUGACCAUGCAGGCAACAUGUUCCAGAGGCACUCUGGGAUGGAGUAGACAGGAGAUACUGGAUCUCCUGGGCCAGUGAGAAGAGGCUGUAUAGGCCCAGCUAUAGAUCACCAAAGAAAGGUGGACAUCUGUGAGCAGAUUGCAGGGGAGAUGCAGGCGAAGGGGUAUGAUGGGGACUGGCAUCAGUGCCAUAUGAAAGCAAAGGAACUGUGUCCAGCUAACAGAAGGCCAGCAAGGCCAACAGUUGAUCUGGUGCCAAGCUGUAGACCUGCCACUUUUACAAAGAGUUGAAUGCUGUACUUGGCGGAGACCCCACCACCACUCCACGGACCACUGAGAAUACCACUAAGAAGCCCAAGUGUCAGGCCCCUGGCAAGGAUGAGGAAGAGGAGGAUGUGAGAGUGGGAGGUCCAGCUACACAGUGAGCCAGAACCUGUCUGAGACUCCACCACAGUCCAGUCGGUCCUGAGAGUUGAGCACAAGCAAGCCUGAUUCAGAGGAAGCAACCUUGGGAUCUUGCUGAAUCGGACCGUGAGCAAGAGGCCUGGAAGGUGAACACAGCAGAUAGCCUGUAUAAAGGCCCAGGAAUCUCAAAAGGAAAAACACAGAGUCAGAUGCACCAGGACAUAACGGGGCUUCUCCGACAGCAAACAGAUGCUGAAGACUCUCUUGUGAAACUACAGGUUCAACAGUCAUGGGCUUGCCAUCCUUUGCAGUUCAUGGAGAACUCCAUUACAGCAUCAUCUCCCUAUACACCAUGGUAUCAGAAGGACACAUCCCUACUCCUACCACUUCAUCCCAAAGAACAUUAAGGACAGCCACACUUCUCAUACACUGACCUGAGACAGCCAUGGUUGCUGUAUGUGUAGGUAAAAUGGACAUGAAUGUUCAUUCCCUUGAAGUUCUGUUCCAUUAAUUUAAGUUUUUAAUGUAUUUCCUUUUAAAUUACAGACUUCUUCUUGGACUGACUUUGUUACUGAAUAAAAUUCUAUUUGG
RNA transcript from Dermochelys coriacea (leatherback sea turtle), 4276 nucleotides. It is a transcript of the gene named epithelial splicing regulatory protein 1, with no coding region annotated. The record is from RefSeq and is a predicted model, not a curated record. The transcript has 14 exons. Lineage: Eukaryota; Metazoa; Chordata; Testudines; Dermochelyidae.